AUGGACAGGGCCUGUCAUUGGUGUCAAGAUAUAAUUAUUAUGUUCUCUAUUUUCUUUAUCUUCGGCGCCACCAAAGGAAGGCCGACUUCUUCCCUGGGUCUUCUCCCUACAAUCGUAACAAGGUGCCGCACUGCUCCUCCCUACAGCCCCAACGGCAAGGCAGCAACAACCCUGCCAUCUUUCAUUGGUGAUGCUCCUCCCCGCAGCAUGAUAGUUUGGAUUUCUGCGGCAUAUCACUACGUUUUGUCUCUUUGUGUAGACCUUUUCCUAUUUUAUUAUCAGCUGUUUGUCGAGAGGUCAGAGCGGCAAAUCCUUAUUAGCCACGCCCUUGUAAGUUCCAUGUACUGGGAUUUUAUUUCCUGA
This 363-nucleotide ribosomal RNA is filed under the name Triticum aestivum (bread wheat). RNAcentral describes it as "partial small subunit ribosomal RNA". The record is from RNAcentral. Lineage: Eukaryota; Viridiplantae; Streptophyta; Magnoliopsida; Poales; Poaceae.